CCCCUGCCGCGUGCCGCGUCGAAGGGAGCGAGGAGGGCGAGGAUGGUGAGGCUCCCGUACCUGACCGCGCUCACCACGCCCUUCAGCUACGGCCUCCUCUUCCCCUUCGGCCACUUCCGCGACUUCUUCCGCCGGAUCCUCGAUGCCGACAAAUCCAACAACCUCAAGGGUUACGCGCCCAUUUGCCUGGGGUACGAGGAUUUCUAUAGGCGCCGCCUCUACCUGCGCAUCCAGCACAGGGGAUUUUUGGUGGUCAAGUCAAUACAUCAGCCAAUACUCUCAUAAACUUCAUUGGACGUCCUUGCACUUUUGUUGGAAGAUGACAGGCAGUAGCACUGCUUCAGUAUAUUAGGCGAAUAUUUACAAAAUCUGGAGAUGUGUGAUUACACUUGAUCUAUACAUGUUUGCCUACAUUUGAAUAACUUUGACUUUGUGACCAUCACACUUGGUAUCUUUUCUAAUGUAUUUUUUGUUUUGCUAGGUUAAGUAGUUCCUGUGAAAUGACUUUGGGAAAGGUGUGGUUCAAGGGGUAAUUAGCAGUAGCACCUCAUGCAAACAGGGAGUGCACGAUCGAGGGGACCAGCGAGUUGCAGCGGUGGAAGGUGCAGAGGUUGCUGCGAGAAGGCUGGCAAGCAGUGGCGUCCUACAUGUUUAAGCUGACUUAAACUACAAGAUGGUGGGUAUUUUCUUCCAUGAAGCUACUAUUGAAUUUGAUAUAAUCUGCAGUUGUAAUAAAAAAGCUGAAGAAAUCUGCAGCUGUAAUAAAAAAGCUGAAGAACUACAUUGAUUUUGCUACCUGCCAAGUGUUGUUGUUUUUCGACAUUGAUUUCGUUGGUGGUUUUUGGUAUCAUGCUUGUUAGCUUGCUCGGCUGCUGUAGAGAGGUGACACGACGCGACGGGACGAGUGAAGGUAGACAUAGUCGGAGACGAGCGUUGGAUACAGAGGUAGCGCGACGACAACUGAGAUGAGGGUCGCAAGACGGAGACGGGUACAUAGGCAGCUUUUCAUGCCAUUUUGCAUGCUAAAUAAUAAAUAUGACAGCGAAGUAAUAGUGGGCUUUGGUUGUUAUUUGCUAAUGGUAAUAGUACUGGACAGAGCAUCAUUCUGUUGUGGAAAGAUAUCUUUUAUGUACAAACUUAACUUGUUAGUCAUUUCAAGGGGGGGGCACACUUAUAUUGUGUUUCUCAAUUUCUCAUCUAGCUGUUGAUUAAAUUUGGUGAUACAGGAAUAAAGGCUGCCACAAAGGAUGAGCGUGUACUUGGAUCAGUAAAAUGUCACGUGUUAUAUUUUCUCUCUUUUCUUUAUCAAACUAGCCAAUUCCUAUCUAGCAAAAGAAGAAAAACAUUAAUAGACAUAGACUAUUUUUGUUUUACGAAAAUGUCUUCCAUCUAAGCAUAUUAGACCUAAAAUAUGUUUUGUUAACAAAUUAUGCUUUACCCUAAUUUCUACAUUUUGUUCAGGCCUUGCAGAGCAUUUACCUUCUACAACAAACAGUGGUCAACGAGUUCUUAAAGAAAAGUAUAUGACGUGAUUGCUAUGCAUCAAAAUCAUUUAGCUAGGGUUAAGGUUUCAGGAAAAAACAAGACAUUUUCUUUACAAUGAACCUGGUCAAAGUACAUAAUGCAAUUUCUUUAUGCAGAGAAAUUAUUUUUUCUGCUAAAGGUAAUCAUGGUCUUUGGGCUUAACAUAAUUGCUUAUUGUGUAAUUCUAUAGAUUGAAAUGUAAGCUUGUAGACGCUUGAGCAUGGGAGGCAGCAUGGAUUUCUCUAUAAGGGUGUCAGGCGCCACCUUGAGAUGUGUCUGUGGUUGUGAGAGUUACUGAAGUCAUUCAUUGACGGAAUAAAGUGGAGUGACUAAAGUCAGUCAGACAGCAGGAUCUUUAUACCUAUGACAACAGCAAUGAAUGUGGUAAAGAGUUACGAUUGUGCUUCAGUUUAUGCAUUUUAGCAUUUAUAAAUGCUUUUGGGAGCGGUUAUAUAUGUUGGAUAUGGAUACGAGUAAGACUGUCAAUAAUUAAUUAUGGUCUGACCAUAUAUAUAGCUAGCAAGUAUCUGAAUGUAAGACAGUAACCUGAAGAUGUGUGCUCGCUUUUUUGCUUCGAUCAUAUUUUACGCCA
Hordeum vulgare subsp. vulgare (domesticated barley) is the source of this 2116-nucleotide long non-coding RNA. RefSeq lists it as uncharacterized. The record is from RefSeq and is a predicted model, not a curated record. The transcript has 6 exons. Lineage: Eukaryota; Viridiplantae; Streptophyta; Magnoliopsida; Poales; Poaceae.